RNAcentral lists this long non-coding RNA (427 nucleotides) under Pelusios castaneus (West African mud turtle). RNAcentral's name for it is "lncRNA (ENSPCEG00000017446.1)". The record is from RNAcentral. Lineage: Eukaryota; Metazoa; Chordata; Testudines; Pelomedusidae.
GUCCCCCACCGCCCCGGCUGGGAGCAAGCUGCGGCUGGAAAGCUCUAGAAACAAUUUGCAGCUCCUGUGCCAAAGGCAACUGCAGCCCCGGCCAUUUUCCAUAGCAACAGGUGGACGGACGGACGGACGGACGGACAGACGGACGGACGGAGGGGCUCGGGACGCUGCUGCUGGGGCAGUUUUUAAACUUUUUUCUUGUUUUUAAAGUUGAACUUUUUAAUUUUAAUUUAAUUUUUUUAAAAAUAAGCAAAAAUUCCCAGCGCCCCCGUCCCCCACGAUGCCGUCCAAUGGGUCUAUUGAAGCCAGCAGCCCUCCUCCGGACUGGGAGACGCCCGACGCUCACAAGAACUCUUUCUUUGCCAAGGGCCUGUGCCUCAUUGGGACACGUCUUCGGCCUGGGUCCUUCCUUCCAGCCCCGGAACACCUG